UUUUUGGUCAAGUUACUUACGCUUGUGAUGGAUGACUUGGUCUUGAUAGGCGAUGAAGGACGUGGCAAGCUGCGAAAAGCUGGGGUUAGUCGCAAACUGACUUUGACCCCCAGAUGUCCGAAUGGGAAAACCCUCUGCGGGUAAUGCCGCAGAAUUUGCGUCUGAAAUUUAAAAUAGGAUGCAAAAGCCACACCGGGAGAAGUGAAACAUCUCAGUACCCCGAGGAAAAGAAAAAGACAUUUAUUUCCCAAGUAGCGGCGAGCGAACGGGAAGAAGCCCAAACCUUAUUUACGUGAUAGCCCGCGUGCGUUGUAGAUAGGGGGUUAUAGGUUCUCACCUGACGGAAUGCGGAUCCGUCGGAAAGUUAUAAACCUUACUUGUAGUUGAAUGCCAUGGAAAUGGCAACCAAAGAAGGUGAUAGUCCUGUAUAUUAAACAAGUAGGGCUUUCUGGGUGGGAUACCUAAUUACUAUGGGACACGUGAAACCCCAUAGGAACUCGGCCAGACCAUUGGCCAAGGCUAAAUACUCAUCAAGGACCGAUAGUGAAAAAGUACCGUGAGGGAAAGUUGAAAAGAACCCCUGUAAGGGGAGUGAAAUAGUACCUGAAAUCACAAGCUUACAAAGCGGUGGGAGCGCUAUGACGUGUCUUCGGAUGCGUAAUGCGUGACCGCGUGCCUUUUGGAUAAUGAACCUGCGAGUUAUUUUGUUCAGCGAGGUUAAUUUCGUGAUUAAUCGUCACGAUUGAAGCCGUAGCGAAAGCGAGUCUGAAUAGGGCGAUUAAGUUGGACAAAUUAGACCCGAAACUGAGUGAUCUACCCAUGGCCAGCGCGAAGCGGCCUUAACCGGUCGUGGAGGUGCGAACCCGUCUGCGUUGAAAAGCGUUGGGAUGAGCUGUGGGUCGGAGCGAAAGACUAAUCAA
This 920-nucleotide ribosomal RNA is filed under the name Candidatus Taenaricola geysiri. RNAcentral's name for it is "bacterial LSU rRNA". It matches the Rfam family "Bacterial large subunit ribosomal RNA", at positions 1 to 836 of the family's 2925-position model. The record is from RNAcentral. Lineage: Bacteria; Pseudomonadati; Candidatus Omnitrophota.